GUCCACGCCCUAAACGAUGACAACUAGUUGUUGGGGAUUUAACAUCCUUAGUAACGCAGCUAACGCGUGAAGUUGUCCGCCUGGGGAGUACGGUCGCAAGAUUAAAACUCAAAGGAAUUGACGGGGGCCCGCACAAGCGGUGGAUGAUGUGGUUUAAUUCGAUGCAACGCGUAAAACCUUACCUACCCUUGACAUGCUAGGAAGUCCGAUGAAAGUUGGAUGUGCCCGAAAGGGAACCUAGACACAGGUGCUGCAUGGCUGUCGU
This 265-nucleotide ribosomal RNA is filed under the name uncultured bacterium. Its description in RNAcentral is "partial 16S ribosomal RNA". It matches the Rfam family "Bacterial small subunit ribosomal RNA", at positions 793 to 1055 of the family's 1533-position model. The record is from RNAcentral.